UACGGGGGGGGCAAGCGUUGUUCGGAAUUACUGGGCGUAAAGGGCGCGUAGGCGGCCUUCUAAGUCGGACGUGAAAUCCCUCGGCUUAACCGAGGAACUGCGUCCGAUACUGAAAGGCUUGAAUCCGGGAGAGGGAUGUGGAAUUCCAGGUGUAGCGGUGAAAUGCGUAGAUAUCAGGAGGAACACCGAUGGCGAAGGCAGGUCUCUGGGCCACUACUGACGCUGAGAAGCGAAAGCGUGGGGAGCGAACAGG
Molecule: ribosomal RNA, 253 nt
Filed under: uncultured bacterium
Lineage: Bacteria
Description: partial 16S ribosomal RNA
Rfam family: Bacterial small subunit ribosomal RNA
Source: RNAcentral